UACGUAGGGGGCAAGCGUUAUCCGGAUUUACUGGGUGUAAAGGGAGCGUAGACGGCAAGGCAAGUCUGAUGUGAAAACCCAGGGCUUAACCCUGGGACUGCAUUGGAAACUGUCUGACUCGAGUGCCGGAGAGGUAAGCGGAAUUCCUAGUGUAGCGGUGAAAUGCGUAGAUAUUAGGAAGAACACCAGUGGCGAAGGCGGCUUACUGGACGGUAACUGACGUUGAGGCUCGAAAGCGUGGGGAGCAAACAGG
Molecule: ribosomal RNA, 253 nt
Filed under: Fusicatenibacter saccharivorans
Lineage: Bacteria; Bacillati; Bacillota; Clostridia; Lachnospirales; Lachnospiraceae
Description: partial 16S ribosomal RNA
Rfam family: Bacterial small subunit ribosomal RNA
Source: RNAcentral